UCCGUAAUGGUCUAGUGGCUAGGAUUUGUCGCUCUCAUCUCGUUCCAUCGAGAUAGUUCCCGACAAGGCCAGGGUUCAAUUCCCUGUUACGGAA
This 94-nucleotide transfer RNA is filed under the name Cercospora zeae-maydis SCOH1-5. RNAcentral's name for it is "tRNA-Glu". It matches the Rfam family "tRNA". Rfam says of the family: Transfer RNA (tRNA) molecules are approximately 80 nucleotides in length. Their secondary structure includes four short double-helical elements and three loops (D, anti-codon, and T loops). The record is from RNAcentral. Lineage: Eukaryota; Fungi; Ascomycota; Dothideomycetes; Mycosphaerellales; Mycosphaerellaceae.